This 541-nucleotide ribosomal RNA is filed under the name uncultured Gallionellaceae bacterium. RNAcentral's name for it is "bacterial SSU rRNA". It matches the Rfam family "Bacterial small subunit ribosomal RNA", at positions 135 to 671 of the family's 1533-position model. Lineage: Bacteria; Pseudomonadati; Pseudomonadota; Betaproteobacteria; Nitrosomonadales; Gallionellaceae. The record is from RNAcentral.
AGUGGGGGAUAACGUAGCGAAAGUUACGCUAAUACCGCAUAUGCCCUGAGGGGGAAAGGAGGGGAUCGUAAGACCUUUCGCUUUCGGAGUGGCCGAUAUCAGAUUAGCUAGUUGGUGGGGUAAAGGCCCACCAAGGCGACGAUCUGUAGCGGGUCUGAGAGGAUGAUCCGCCACACUGGGACUGAGACACGGCCCAGACUCCUACGGGAGGCAGCAGUGGGGAAUUUUGGACAAUGGGGGCAACCCUGAUCCAGCCAUGCCGCGUGAGUGAAGAAGGCCUUCGGGUUGUAAAGCUCUUUCGGACGGAAAGAAAUCCUAUUCGCUAAUACCGGGUGGGGAUGACGGUACCGUAAGAAGAAGCACCGGCUAACUACGUGCCAGCAGCCGCGGUAAUACGUAGGGUGCGAGCGUUAAUCGGAAUUACUGGGCGUAAAGCGUGCGCAGGCGGUUUUGUAAGACAGAUGUGAAAUCCCCGGGCUUAACCUGGGAACUGCAUUUGUGACUGCAAGGCUAGAGUGCGGCAGAAGGGGGUAGAAUUCCA